RNAcentral lists this long non-coding RNA (602 nucleotides) under Nicotiana benthamiana. Its description in RNAcentral is "long non-coding RNA (NBEN_LNC017019)". The record is from RNAcentral. Lineage: Eukaryota; Viridiplantae; Streptophyta; Magnoliopsida; Solanales; Solanaceae.
UGAAUCUCAUUUCAACAGAAUAGACUACCUAAAAAGUCAUUGUAGUAUCAUAUACCUGAUGCAAGGUCUAAAACUGACGUAGAGAAUAAUGAAAGAAGUAGAUGUAACAGUUAUCCAAAUGACUUACAAUAAAUUGGCUCCGUCGGAAAUGAGUAGAUCUGAAAACGAAUAGAGAACGACGAGCGGAACCUCAAUGACGACCUCUAACGAAACCUGAUUUUCCGACUCACAUCGACUACUCUUGGCAUGUUUCGAACUAGAACAGAGAUUCAAGGGGUGGUUUGCUGGUGAGUUUUUAAAACAUCAACUACUCAGUUGUUUUUCAUAUUUUUAGGAUGAAACAUAAAACAACUGGAUGUUUGAAAGCUUCUUCAGUUCUGUGACUAAUACGUUCGAGUAAAUGGAUGAGAAAGCUUCGAUGGUGGCUUCAUGGUUGAGAGGUGGAGAAGAUCGGUUGCUUGUGGUGUACUGAGGAAGAAGAAUGACCCAGCCAGAAAAUGAGAGGGGGCUGCCGGAUUUUCAAUCGGAGAAAAAGAAGCUAUGCUGGGUGUCCCGACUCCCGAAGAAGACGACCAGGGGGUUCUGUAUUGCGGCGCUACUAC